This 734-nucleotide ribosomal RNA is filed under the name Escherichia coli. RNAcentral's name for it is "partial 23S ribosomal RNA". It matches the Rfam family "Bacterial large subunit ribosomal RNA", at positions 2188 to 2916 of the family's 2925-position model. The record is from RNAcentral. Lineage: Bacteria; Pseudomonadati; Pseudomonadota; Gammaproteobacteria; Enterobacterales; Enterobacteriaceae.
GACCUUGAAAUACCACCCUUUAAUGUUUGAUGUUCUAACGUUGACCCGUAAUCCGGGUUGCGGACAGUGUCUGGUGGGUAGUUUGACUGGGGCGGUCUCCUCCUAAAGAGUAACGGAGGAGCACGAAGGUUGGCUAAUCCUGGUCGGACAUCAGGAGGUUAGUGCAAUGGCAUAAGCCAGCUUGACUGCGAGCGUGACGGCGCGAGCAGGUGCGAAAGCAGGUCAUAGUGAUCCGGUGGUUCUGAAUGGAAGGGCCAUCGCUCAACGGAUAAAAGGUACUCCGGGGAUAACAGGCUGAUACCGCCCAAGAGUUCAUAUCGACGGCGGUGUUUGGCACCUCGAUGUCGGCUCAUCACAUCCUGGGGCUGAAGUAGGUCCCAAGGGUAUGGCUGUUCGCCAUUUAAAGUGGUACGCGAGCUGGGUUUAGAACGUCGUGAGACAGUUCGGUCCCUAUCUGCCGUGGGCGCUGGAGAACUGAGGGGGGCUGCUCCUAGUACGAGAGGACCGGAGUGGACGCAUCACUGGUGUUCGGGUUGUCAUGCCAAUGGCACUGCCCGGUAGCUAAAUGCGGAAGAGAUAAGUGCUGAAAGCAUCUAAGCACGAAACUUGCCCCGAGAUGAGUUCUCCCUGACUCCUUGAGAGUCCUGAAGGAACGUUGAAGACGACGACGUUGAUAGGCCGGGUGUGUAAGCGCAGCGAUGCGUUGAGCUAACCGGUACUAAUGAACCGUGAGG